Erythranthe guttata (spotted monkey flower) is the source of this 1136-nucleotide non-coding RNA. The record is from RefSeq and is a predicted model, not a curated record. Lineage: Eukaryota; Viridiplantae; Streptophyta; Magnoliopsida; Lamiales; Phrymaceae.
AACUAAGGGGUUUGUUUGUAAUUACACUUUACCUUAGGGAUGUAGUUGUAAUUACCCUUGCAAUUUUUCACAGAAAAUGGGCUGGGCUGCUAUAAAUAGGUGAAAUGUAUUGAGGCCGAACCGGUUGUUAAAUAAGGGAGGCCCAAAUUAGAGCACGAAUUUUGGAGGGAUACAAUCAGAAAAGAGGAACUUGAAAUUGCUUCUUCAGAUAAACAAUUACAGCAUUAAUGGGAAGCAAAGCCGUUCAGUUUAUGCUUGGAGCGGCGCCACCGCAAUCGGCGCGGCGGCUCUUCAGUUUCAGAAAUAGUGUUCCUCCGGCAGCGGCUUCGGUUAAUAAACGGUUUUAUGGGGCGGAAUCGAGUCUGGAGCCACCAGAUGUUCCGCGAUUAGCAGAAACCGCUCGGAUUUCCCUCACCCCUCAGCAGGUUGAAGAUUAUUCUCCCAGAAUCCGGAAAGUGGUAGACUGGUUUGGGCAACUCCAGGCUGUUGACCUCCAGAGCAUCGAACCAGCCAUAAGAGCAGAUACUGAAGGAGAUAAUUUGCGUGAUGACGUGCCUGCAAUAUUUAAUACUAGGGAUGCUAUGAUAGCAGCUGUCCCAACUUUUGAAGAUUCUUAUGUAAAAGUUCCGAAAGUCUUGAACAAGAAGUGAUUAGAAGAUGAUGCACCUUAGUAAUAUUCUUCACUCUUCAGUAUUACCAGAUAGAGAUUUACAGGAAAUGCUUUUUCGUCGAGUCUCAGCCAGUGCUUCAAUAACAAGUCUUGGGCAUGCCAGUUGAUAGAUGUGAUCAGGAGAACAGAGGAUGGUUACAGGAAGUUUCCUCUUCCCUUUUCUUCAGUUUCUUAAAAUGAUGGUGUAUUUUACUAGAGGUCAAAUUUCCUGAAUAUUGGAUAAAUUCAAGGUAAUUUCCUAAACCUGAAAAUCGUGGGGUCAAAAUUGUGGAAAUUUUCAAGGAUGUAACAAGGUCCGUUCUAUGUCAAUCCCUCUUUUAUUAUAAUAGCUCCUCAUGUUUAAUGCUGUAACUCACAGGAAAUACAUACAUUGCCUCGUUAAACCUGUUAUCUCCAGGAUUCUUUCAGGAAGUUUAACAAUCUGAAGAAAGUUGAAGAAUAGUCAUAGUGAAAUGACAAUUCCAUU